Molecule: ribosomal RNA, 490 nt
Filed under: Phaeocystis globosa
Lineage: Eukaryota; Haptophyta; Phaeocystales; Phaeocystaceae
Description: SSU rRNA
Rfam family: Eukaryotic small subunit ribosomal RNA
Source: RNAcentral
CGCUCGUAGUCGGGUUUCGGGUCGGGCCGAGCGGUCUGCCGAUGGGUAUGCACUGUUUGGCGCGGCCUUCUUUCCGGAGACCGCGGCUACUCUUAACUGAGCGGGCGUGGGAGACGGAUCGUUUACUUUGAAAAAAUCAGAGUGUUUCAAGCAGGCAGCUCGCUCUUGCAUGGUACAGCAUGGGAUGAUUGAAUAGGACUCCGGUGCUAUUUUGUUGGUUUCGAACACCAGGAGUAAUGAUUAACAGGGACAGUCAGGGGCACUCGUAUUCCGUCGAGAGAGGUGAAAUUCUCAGACCAAUGGAAGACGAACCACUGCGAAAGCAUUUGCCAGGGAUGUUUUCACUGAUCAAGAACGAAAGUUAGGGGAUCGAAGACGAUCAGAUACCGUCGUAGUCUUAACCAUAAACCAUGCCGACCAGGGAUUGGAGGGUGUUCGUUUCGACCUCUUCACCACCUUACGGGAAACUAAAGUCUUUGGGUUCCGGGGG